This 253-nucleotide ribosomal RNA is filed under the name uncultured prokaryote. Its description in RNAcentral is "partial 16S ribosomal RNA". It matches the Rfam family "Bacterial small subunit ribosomal RNA", at positions 524 to 776 of the family's 1533-position model. The record is from RNAcentral.
UACGGAGGGUGCAAGCAUUGAUCGGAAUUACUGGGCGUAAAGGGCGCGUAGGCGGCUGGAUAAGUCGGAUGUGAAAUUCCGGGGCUCAACCCCGGAGCUGCAUUUGAAACUGUCUAGCUAGAGUGUAGUUAGGGUAAACGGAAUUCCACGUGUAGCGGUGAAAUGCGUAGAUAUGUGGAAGAACACCGGUGGUGAAGACGGUUUACUGGGCUAUAACUGACGCUGAGGCGCGAAAGCAUGGGGAGCAAACAGG